Molecule: long non-coding RNA, 2967 nt
Filed under: Zea mays
Lineage: Eukaryota; Viridiplantae; Streptophyta; Magnoliopsida; Poales; Poaceae
Description: long non-coding RNA (ZMAY_LNC001738)
Source: RNAcentral
AUAAAUGUCACAAUAUAAUCAAAGUAAUUAUUACAUAGCGGAAGUCUUACAGAAUAGAAGAUAAAUAUAAAACGAUCUAAAGUCCAUCCUUGGCGCCAUAAAGUCAACUGGGAGACACCACCUAGAUCAAAUCGAACUCCUCGUUGUGUGGCUCCUCUCGAACAACCUGUUCUUCUCCUGUGGGGGUGUGAGACAGCAAGGGUGAGCUCACACAUGUUCAUCGCUCAACAAGUUGUGGGGAAUAAUGUGGAUGAACUCACCAAAGGUGGGAGCUCAUGUGAAGUGUAAGGCUUACCAAAGAGAAUGGUUAAAGCUGAGCAUUGCUUUUAAAAUUGGUCAAAAUUUUAUUACCAAUUACUAGAUGUAAGUAAAUACCAAACCAUAAUAAUAGUAGAACAAAAUUAAUAAUAAAUCUCAUGCAAUACAAAUGACAAAUUGAAUUUAGUUCCAUAAAUUAAUCAUGCGAGAGUCCUGAGCUGCUCUUGACCGUGAGCUCGGCUAGUCUACCAGUUUUACACUCUGCAGAGGUUGUACCUUGUAUCCACAAGUGAUGAUACCCAUCUGCUAAGGGGUCAUGAAUCCCAUACACCUCUACCAAGGAAGCGAGGAAGGGUAACACUACGAGGCCUUUACAAAGUUCCACUAGCUUCCGAAAACCCGCUACAGUUUAUGGGAAGAGCUCUUGCAAGAAUUCCUCGACUGACCGCCAUCGCAGCAAAAUCAACCCGAGAACCUCCCUGCAUGCAACUCCCCAACUGCCCUUGUUCCUUUCGAGUAAGGUAGUCUGCCACUAGCUUUUUCUAAUUAAUCAGCCAACGACGUCCCAUUCCAAGUUAAGCUUUUUCUAGUGGUGGCAUGUGUUUCUCAAGUUAAGCUCCAUGUUCCAUGUAAAAUAAUAUAAUAAUCUUGACAUGAACAUAAAUAACAUAACAGAAUAAUUGGAACAUGGAUAUAAUGAAAUAUUAACCCAAAACCAUAUAAAGCAAUAGUAAAACUACCCAAGUGAUUCAGGGGUAAACAAGGUAAAAGAUAAUCAGACUAGGGUGACCUAUUGGCUCCCAUCAAAAUUAAACCUAUGCAUGAAUAAGUGAUAUUAAAGAACAUGAUUGGGUAAUAAAUGUGGUCAAGGGCACAACUUGCCUGUGACUUGAGAAUCCAGGUAUCGGGAUGAUCCUCAGAUUCUUAUGACCUCAUUGCUAGUUGUAGCAAUACAAACAUACAUGAUAUAGAAAAAAUUAACAUCACACCAAACAUAAGAACAUACUGCAUAAAUAAUAAUCUACACGUUGCUACAAGAUCGUGGGAUCGAGAACUACUAAGAUCACAGUCAUGGUUAAGGAGUUAUGAUCUAUGGAAGAUCUACGUGAUUUAAACUAUAUUAUAAAUUGAUUAGUAUGCCUCAUAUGAGAAAAUAUGCUCUAAAUAAUCAAUUCAACUUUAAUCUAGAUUAUACUUGACUAGAGAUCAUGUAUUAACCACAUUAUAAUUAUGGUCAGGUUAGUUUUGAUUUAGAAGAGCCAAUCUAGUAGACAUAGGGUAAAUAAAUAUCUAACCAUAAAAUUAUUCAAUAUGGUAUAAUUAAUGUUGUUACUGCGUAGUAAAUAUUUAUACGAAGUUAACACAACUGGAACGGGUCAAAUCGGAAUUAAAACGAAGAAGUUAUGGAUUUCCGAAGUUCGUAUGUAUUGCUACAAAAUUAAUUGAGUAAUCAAUUCUAGUAUGGUUGUCAUGUUAAAACAGUGCUACCAAGUAAUAGAAAAUAUUAAUACAAAAUUAUAGGAACUAGAAUGGACUAAAAAGGAUUUAAUAUGAAUUUUCUAUGAUUUAUACAAGUUUCUACCAUUAUUUUUGUGUUAAAUAUGAUUUUAAAAUAAAUUUCUCUGAUUUUAUUCGCUGUCUAGACUGCGCGCAUGAAUUCAGAGAAUAACAGGGGCUAACACGUAAAUUUUCUAAGGCUCAAUGAACAAUCCGAGUGGAAUGCGGGUUGAAUACCUCUAAGGGCUUGUUCGGUUAUUUUCAAUCCAUAUGGAUUGAAGAGGAUUGAUACGGAUUGGGAGAUAUUUUGACUUACUAGGGAUUGAAACCCCCUCAAUCUCCAUCAAUCCAUAUGGAUUGGGGUAGAACCGAACAAGGCCUAAAGCGGAGGCUCUUUUGCAAAACACACGGACCGAAGGGGUAUCGCCUUAAAUGGGUCGUUGGAUCAGGGUUGGUCAUGUGAGAUUAAUUCAAGUCCUAUCUGAACCGGUAUGGCACCAGGACCACAGGAUCACAGAUUAGUGGCGUAGAUUUCAAAUGUGCUCGAUCUGUUUACCUCCGUUGGACUCCGGAUGGAUGACCCAGAUCACAAUCCUGAAGUAGCAACGAGAGAUCUGAUCACUAGCGUCCAUCAAGGAACCGACCGCCAAGGACGCUCCUUCUACCUUUCUACACCCAGCCACGGCGGACGGCCAUCGCCCGCGCUCGAGGACACACCGGCCAUCACGCAAACGCUGUUCCGAUGCCCCAGACUCUACAAAAUUAGGUGCUACGUGAUGUAGAGUCGAGCACGAGCUAGAUGGAGUGCGAGGACCACCUAUCCCAGCAACUCCGCGACAAUGCUUGAACCACGGCGAGCAAUCCCCAUCGAUCCGACCGCCCAUGAGUCCAGGUGAUCCAACUUGAUUCAACACCGAGCACAUCCCUUCGACACGCACCUGCUACGGGGAUUGGAGUGAUGGCGAAGCGCGAUUUUGACGUCGACAGCGCCCACAAUUCUCUCUCCUGCUCUCGGCGAACAUGGCGGCUGAGAAUGAACGGUGCGAGAUUCAUGCGUUAGGAAGGAGGGGGCGCAGAGGUGGAAGAUGGGUCGUCACAAGGCUAGGGCGCUACAUGUAGGAGCAGGGCGACCCGAGAUUGAGCCACGAACCCCCAACUUCCACGCGCCAGUCCUCCAUUGGCGGCGAGGUGGUUGGGCGAGAGACUGGCGAC